RNAcentral lists this ribosomal RNA (269 nucleotides) under uncultured prokaryote. Its description in RNAcentral is "partial 16S ribosomal RNA". It matches the Rfam family "Bacterial small subunit ribosomal RNA", at positions 524 to 792 of the family's 1533-position model. The record is from RNAcentral.
GACGUAGGGGGCGAGCGUUGUCCGGAUUUACUGGGCGUAAAGCGCGCGUAGGCGGUCAGGUCAGUCAUAGGUGAAAUCCCUGGGCUCAACCCAGGAACGGCUUAUGAUACUGCUUGGCUAGAGUACGGGAGAGGAGAGUGGAAUUGCUGGUGGAGCGGUGAAAUGCGUAGAUAUCAGCAGGAACGCCCGUGGCGAAGGCUGCUCUCUGGAACGCUACUGACGCUGAGGCGCGAAAGCUAGGGGAGCGAACGGGAUUAGAUACCCCCGUA